CCAGCAGCCCGCGGUAAUACGUAGGUGGCAAGCGUUGUCCGGAUUUAUUGGGCGUAAAGCGAGCGCAGGCGGUUUCUUAAGUCUGAUGUGAAAGCCCCCGGCCCAUUUCGGGGAGGGUCAUUGGAAACUGGGAGACUUGAGUGCAGCAUAGGAGAGUGGAAUUCCAUGUGUAGCGGUGAAAUGCGUAGAUAUAUGGAGGAACACCAGUGGCGAAGGCGGCUCUCUGGUCUGUAACUGACGCUGAGGCUCGAAAGCGUGGGGAGCAAACAGGAUUAGAUUACCCUGGUA
This 288-nucleotide ribosomal RNA is filed under the name Enterococcus saigonensis. RNAcentral's name for it is "partial 16S ribosomal RNA". It matches the Rfam family "Bacterial small subunit ribosomal RNA", at positions 508 to 792 of the family's 1533-position model. Lineage: Bacteria; Bacillati; Bacillota; Bacilli; Lactobacillales; Enterococcaceae. The record is from RNAcentral.